RNAcentral lists this transfer RNA (75 nucleotides) under Halocalculus aciditolerans. It matches the Rfam family "tRNA". Rfam says of the family: Transfer RNA (tRNA) molecules are approximately 80 nucleotides in length. Their secondary structure includes four short double-helical elements and three loops (D, anti-codon, and T loops). Lineage: Archaea; Methanobacteriati; Methanobacteriota; Halobacteria; Halobacteriales; Halobacteriaceae. The record is from Rfam by way of RNAcentral.
GCUCGGUUGGUGUAGUCCGGCCAAUCAUGCGGGCCUUUCGAGCCUGCGACAGGGGUUCAAAUCCCCUACCGAGCA